This 427-nucleotide long non-coding RNA is filed under the name Arachis ipaensis. RNAcentral describes it as "long non-coding RNA (AIPA_LNC000238)". The record is from RNAcentral. Lineage: Eukaryota; Viridiplantae; Streptophyta; Magnoliopsida; Fabales; Fabaceae.
GCCUCUCCUUUUUCUUAUUUUUAUGCUCAUUUACGUAGAAACAAAGUUGUUUCCUUAGGUUUAUUACGUGUCAUUAGAAAUGUUAAUUGCUAGAAAGAACAACUUAAGUUGCAAGCAUUACUCCUUGCUUUUAUUAUAAUGAUGAGGAGUAACACUAGUUAAGCAACAUAGCUGUAGCUAUUUUCAUUGUCAUUGCCUCGGUUUUGGAAGAGAAAUUGGAAGACUUGGCACGCAAGGAACCAGAGUGUUUGCAUGAAAUUUUGUUGUUGAAAGAGAUGGAUCGAUAUCUCUGCUGAGGGCAAACACCAUUCUCUGGGUUAGAGUUGUGCAAUUCACAGCCACAGUUUUUAUGGUAUGGCCUGCGCUCAACAUUCCUGUCCUUCGUUGAUAUGCUUCCUUCCAUAACCCCCCGAACCAUCAUCAUUUG